Long non-coding RNA from Engraulis encrasicolus (European anchovy), 288 nucleotides. RefSeq lists it as uncharacterized. The record is from RefSeq and is a predicted model, not a curated record. The transcript is spliced from 3 exons. Lineage: Eukaryota; Metazoa; Chordata; Actinopteri; Clupeiformes; Engraulidae.
CAGGUGUUUUGCCCCUGCAGCUGUGAAGAGGAUGCUGUGAAGGUGGCAACGUGAACGUGUCACACAGACAUUGGCUAAACUACUCGGCUUCUACACUUGCCCUCAGAGUUCACAUAUGGUGAAGUGCACAGGUGUCCAGCCAGGUCCAGACUGAUGAUGGUAACAAGAGGAAAACAUGCUGAUUGGCAAGUGAGAACCCUGCUCAACAAAAAUCCACACAGCAUAACAAGAAUGAUUCAACGAUGGACAUUGUGCUUAAUUGUGGAAAAAAAUAAAUGUCAAAACGUC